This 77-nucleotide transfer RNA is filed under the name Chloroflexota bacterium. RNAcentral describes it as "Chloroflexi bacterium tRNA-Glu". It matches the Rfam family "tRNA". Rfam says of the family: Transfer RNA (tRNA) molecules are approximately 80 nucleotides in length. Their secondary structure includes four short double-helical elements and three loops (D, anti-codon, and T loops). The record is from RNAcentral. Lineage: Bacteria; Bacillati; Chloroflexota.
GGCCCGGUCGCCUAGUGGUCCAGGGCGCUUCCCUUUCAAGGAAGAGGUCAGGGGUUCGAAUCCCCUCCGGGCUACAA